Molecule: ribosomal RNA, 1241 nt
Filed under: metagenome
Description: bacterial LSU rRNA
Rfam family: Bacterial large subunit ribosomal RNA
Source: RNAcentral
UGAAUACGAGACGCUAAGGCGUCGAAGUAGUGUAUGUCAUACUUCCAAGAAAAGCUUGCACUGUCAUAGAUAAAAAACGCCUGUACCAUAACCGACACAGGUGGGUAGGUAGAGUAUACUAAGGGGCGCGAGAUAACUCUCUCUAAGGAACUCGGCAAAAUAACUCCGUAACUUCGGGAGAAGGAGUGCCUUAUUCGUAAGGUUGCAAUAACAAGAUCCAAGCAACUGUUUAUCAAAAACACAGGUCUCCGCUAAGUCGUAAGACGAUGUAUGGGGGCUGACGCCUGCCCAGUGCCAGAAGGUUAAAGAAGUUGGUUAGCAAUUGCGAAGCUGAUAACUGAAGCCCUGGUGAACGGCGGCCGUAACUAUAACGGUCCUAAGGUAGCGAAAUUCCUUGUCGGGUAAGUUCCGACCCGCACGAAAGGCGUAAUGAUUUGGAUACUGUCUCGGAGAGGGGCUCGGUGAAAUAGACUUGUCUGUGAAGAUGCGGACUACCUGCACCAGGACAGAAAGACCCUAUGAAGCUUUACUGUAACUUGAAAUUGAAAUUGGACUUUAUUCGCGCAGUAUAGGUGGGAGGCGUUGAUUAUAAUCUUGUGGGAUUAUUUGAGCCAUCAGUGAGAUACCACCCUUGUAAUGUUAGAUUUCUAACUUUGAAUCAUAUCUGGUCAAAGAACAGUUUCAGGCGGGCAGUUUGACUGGGGCGGUCGCCUCCUAAACGGUAACGGAGGCGUACAAAGGUUUCCUCUGAACGGUUAGAAAUCGUAUCUAGAGUGUAAAGGCAUAAGGAAGCUUGACUGUGAGACCUACAAGUCGAGCAGGGACGAAAGUCGGUCUUAGUGAUCUGACGGUACUGAGUGGAAAGGCCGUCACUCAACGGAUAAAAGUUACUCUAGGAUAACAGGCUGAUCUCCCCCAAGAGUUCACAUCGACGGGGAGGUUUGGCACCUCGAUGUCGGCUCAUCGCAUCCUGGGGCGGUAGUACGUCCCAAGGGUUGGGCUGUUCGCCCAUGAAAGCGGUACGCGAGCUGGGUUCAGAACGUCGUGAGACAGUUCGGUCCAUAUCCGGUGUAGGCGUUAGAAUAUUGAGAGGAGCCUUCUUUAGUACGAGAGGACCGAGAAGGACAUACCUCUGGUGUACCAGUUAUCGUGCCAACGGUAAACGCUGGGUAGCUAUGUAUGGAGUGGAUAACCGCUGAAAGCAUCUAAGUGGGAAGCCCACCUCAAGAUAAGUAUUCUCA